Molecule: ribosomal RNA, 253 nt
Filed under: uncultured bacterium
Lineage: Bacteria
Description: partial 16S ribosomal RNA
Rfam family: Bacterial small subunit ribosomal RNA
Source: RNAcentral
UACGAAGGGGGCGAGCGUUGUUCGGAAUUACUGGGCGUAAAGGGCGCGCAGGCGGCCGAUCAAGUCAGGCGUGAAAGCCCCGGGCUUAACCUGGGAAUUGCGCUUGGGACUGAUGGGCUGGAGUUCGGGAGAGGAGAGUGGAAUUCCCAGUGUAGAGGUGAAAUUCGUAGAUAUUGGGAAGAACACCGGUGGCGAAGGCGGCUCUCUGGACCGAUACUGACGCUGAGGCGCGAAAGCGUGGGGAGCAAACAGG